GCUGGUGAGCAUUAUUGAAGAGUCAGCAAAGUCUGCCAUGCCUUCCAACUUGAUCUUGGACUGUGAGCCUGGAUCGAAGCUAGAGAAGUUGAAGGAGAACGAGGUUGCUGAUGGCAUAACUAUUGCCAAGAAUAGAACAGCAAGUUCCAUUUGCACACUACAAGGAAGUUCGUCUUAUGUGGAGCAAAAGUUAAAGGACUUCCAUUGUUUCCAUAGGCAAGCUACUGAAAGAAUAACCCUUGAGAAAAAGAUACGUCUUCUGUUGACUUCUAGUAUUUCUUGAUCACAAUUUUUCUGCAUCUAAUGUAUAUUUUCAAAAUAUUACAGGUCUAGGUCUAGGUCUUGGGUAGACUUUUUCUGUUUCUUGAGCACAAUUUUUCUGCAUCAAAUGCAUAUUUUCAAAAUGUUAUCUUUAAUUAUGGUAACGAUUCUUUGUCAAAUAGGAACCUUUGUUCCUUGAUUGGGAAAUGUUUGAUGCAAUACACAUGGAAACAAAAAGAAGGAAACUUCAUAGCAGUGUCUUACAUAUUAUCUGAAUAGACUUUUCUCUGAAGGUUUCUUUCAGGGGAUUCUCACUUUGGAAGUUAAUGAGCAUAAUUUUACCCACUGCAUACAAUGGGGGAAAGGACAUGUAACAAUAGAGGAAGGGUUAACUCCAGACAGAGACACCGACUGCAUGAGGUCAAAACAAUACCAACUCUAGGACCACGCGCUAACUGUUGGAAAGUUUCUACGAUCUAGAAUAAAGAUUGGAAUAUUUAUG
This is a long non-coding RNA of Zingiber officinale, 763 nucleotides long. RefSeq lists it as uncharacterized. Lineage: Eukaryota; Viridiplantae; Streptophyta; Magnoliopsida; Zingiberales; Zingiberaceae. The transcript is spliced from 2 exons. The record is from RefSeq and is a predicted model, not a curated record.